RNAcentral lists this long non-coding RNA (542 nucleotides) under Ananas comosus (pineapple). Its description in RNAcentral is "long non-coding RNA (ACOM_LNC025767)". Lineage: Eukaryota; Viridiplantae; Streptophyta; Magnoliopsida; Poales; Bromeliaceae. The record is from RNAcentral.
CGUAGAGAGUCUAGGGUGGUCGAUUAAGGCUUUGUUUGGGAUUAUGGGGAGAUUGCGUUACGUGCAGUAAAAAAGUACAUUUUUGUUUGUUUUCGUACGUAAUAUUGUGUUCUGCAUAGAUUACGAUAUAUUUUCUGCAGUCCUACCGGAGAACGCAGAAGCAUAUUCCUGUAUGCUUUUCCUCAACUCUAUUUUAUCUAAUAGCGUUAGAUAGACCUCAAUACCAAACUAAGCCUAAGAAUUAUUGUAAGGACUGAGAUUUUUGACUAUGCAACUAAACUCUCUGUUGACGAUGUUUAUGUGUGUAAUUUAAUUACAUAAGCACUCGUCAAGUUUCAGGAGAAAAUGAGCUUAAACGGAGAAGUUACGCGAUUAUUAGUUUUCACUUAAGUGAAUAGUAACUCCGGUUUUCCGGAGAAGCCACGNGUUGUGGUUGUAUCCUGGUUGUACUGUGUAUUUGAUCGACGCCGUGCAAAUACAGGGGAGACUCUGUCCGUGUGAACAGUGGAUUCCCUGUAUUUGUGGCGGAUCUGGCAUACUUU